Molecule: long non-coding RNA, 811 nt
Filed under: Homo sapiens (human)
Lineage: Eukaryota; Metazoa; Chordata; Mammalia; Primates; Hominidae
Description: non-protein coding lnc-ZNF577-3:2
Source: RNAcentral
CCUUCUUCCAGAGAUACUCUUUUGUCUCUUGUCUUUUAUUCCCGUGUUCAUCCCCCUUUGUUCAGUCCACCAGGGAUCAUGGCACGUUACAUAGUGGUGCCCCGAACAGCGACAGAAUCAGGGGCUCUACAAGUGGCACUCAAACAGGCGACAGUCUGAACACGGGACUAUGAGGAUGUGAAUGAAGAAGAUCUCCUGGAAUAGAGGAACUGAAAUUGACAACGCAAAUGGGGACCCUGGGAUGAGUCAGCUGGCAGCGCACAUGAGGUCAGCGCCUAAAGAGUCUGUAAAAUCGGAUGGACCGCCAAUCGGAGAAUGAGAGCUGCCCAGCCUGGUCUUACAUUCUUUCAAUUAAUUCAUAAACAGGGGGAUAUGCAGGGAGCCGAAGGCCCAUGGGACGUGACCAACUCAGCAUUCCACUGGAGGCUAUAUGAUCAAACAGCAAACUGUUUAUCAUGAAUACAGGAUGUGAGCAAACUCACGACUGUGCCUGCCGCCAGAAGGUUUGCUGAGGGCAAUCGCUUCCUGACGCCAAGCUCUUUGAAGUUAUCUACUGGAACAUCUAGAGAAUGCAGUCUUGCAAGCCUACUCUGGACCAACCAACUGACCUCUUCUUCCACCCCCCUUCUCACUAUCGCUUUUCUCUAAUAAAUACAGAGGGCCGUGUAAAGCUCAGGGCCUUGUCCACUAGAGGCAAGGUGCCCCCGGACCCCUUCUUCCAAAUAUACUCUUUUGUCUCUUGUCUUUUAUUCCUGCAUUCACCCCCCUUUGUUCAGUCCACCAGGGAUCAUGGCAGGUUACAUAGUGGCGC